UACGUAGGGUGCAAGCGUUGUCCGGAAUUAUUGGGCGUAAAGAGCUUGUAGGCGGUUUGUCGCGUCUGCUGUGAAAUUUCGGGGCUCAACCCCGAACUUGCAGUGGGUACGGGCAGACUAGAGUGUGGUAGGGGAGACUGGAAUUCCUGGUGUAGCGGUGAAAUGCGCAGAUAUCAAGAGGAACACCUGCGGCGAAGGCGGGUUGCUGGGCCGACACUGACGCUGAGGCGCGAAAGCCAGGGGAGCGAACGGG
This 253-nucleotide ribosomal RNA is filed under the name uncultured bacterium. RNAcentral's name for it is "partial 16S ribosomal RNA". It matches the Rfam family "Bacterial small subunit ribosomal RNA", at positions 524 to 776 of the family's 1533-position model. The record is from RNAcentral.